GACGUAGGGCGCGAGCGUUGUCCGGAUUUAUUGGGCGUAAAGAGCUCGUAGGCGGCUUGUCGCGUCGACUGUGAAACCCCGCGGCUCAACCGCGGGUCUGCAGUCGAUACGGGCAGGCUAGAGUUCGGUAGGGGAGACUGGAAUUCCUGGUGUAGCGGUGAAAUGCGCAGAUAUCAGGAGGAACACCGAUGGCGAAGGCAGGUCUCUGGGCCGAUACUGACGCUGAGGAGCGAAAGCGUGGGGAGCGAACAGG
RNAcentral lists this ribosomal RNA (253 nucleotides) under uncultured bacterium. RNAcentral describes it as "partial 16S ribosomal RNA". It matches the Rfam family "Bacterial small subunit ribosomal RNA", at positions 524 to 776 of the family's 1533-position model. The record is from RNAcentral.